RNAcentral lists this ribosomal RNA (506 nucleotides) under uncultured eukaryote. RNAcentral's name for it is "eukaryotic LSU rRNA". It matches the Rfam family "Eukaryotic large subunit ribosomal RNA", at positions 1163 to 1646 of the family's 3401-position model. The record is from RNAcentral.
AUGAACCGGAAGCGGGGAGAAAGGGCCCGAGAUUGCGUCGACGCGGAGUCCCGAAAAGGGCGUCGAUCCGUCGCGACAGCGGGACGGUGGUCAUGGAAGUCGAAAUCCGCUAAGAAGCGUGUAAAAACGUACCCGCCCAACGGAUCGGCCCCGAAAAUUGAUGGCGCUCGAACGCAACCCUCGAACCCCGCCGACGGAGGCUAGGGGAGGCCCCGUCGAGUAGGCGGACGCGCGGGUCGCUUCGACGCUCUCGCGCGAGCGGGGGCGGAGCGGCCCGUGGUGCAGAUCUUGGUGGUAGUAGCGAUCACCCAGGCGAGAACCCUGAGGGGCCGAAGUGGAGAAGGGUUUUCUCGAGAACGGCACUCGCUCGAGAGUUAGUCGAUCCUAAGCUGCCGGCGGCAGCCACGAAACGGUCGAUCGGGCGCGAGCCCGGCAGCCACGACCGGGGCAGCGAAAGGGAAUUGGGAACCUCCUUCCCCAAACCCGGAACCGGAACGAGGGCGGCG